GGCACAGAACGCGUCCGGCAACACCGCGCUGCACAUCUGCGCCCUCUACAACAAGGAGAGCUGCGCCCGGAUCCUCCUGUACCGCGGGGCCAACAAGGAGGUGAAGAACAACAGCGGGCAGACGCCGUUCCAGGUGGCCGUCAUCGCCGGGAACUUCGAGCUGGG
Molecule: long non-coding RNA, 165 nt
Organism: Onychostruthus taczanowskii (white-rumped snowfinch)
Lineage: Eukaryota; Metazoa; Chordata; Aves; Passeriformes; Passeridae
Exons: 3
Source: RefSeq, a predicted model, not a curated record